Long non-coding RNA from Pelobates fuscus (common spadefoot toad), 440 nucleotides. RefSeq lists it as uncharacterized. The record is from RefSeq and is a predicted model, not a curated record. NCBI's taxonomy places the organism in Eukaryota, Metazoa, Chordata, Amphibia, Anura, Pelobatidae. The transcript is spliced from 2 exons.
GUGAGCAAUGUAAAGGGACCGAACAGCUGCUCCGUCAGCCCAUACCAGGGACAAGGAACUGGUGCUGGGGCUGGCAAGAUGCUAACUCUGGGAGCAUGGCACUUUAACCCCUUCACUGUCACAGGUGGCCGGGUACCAGGUUACAGUGGCAGUACAGAUCCCAGUUACAAUAAGCAAAUCCCACUGGAAGCCCAGUCACAGAGAUCCAUCGGUGCAGUAUUAUGAAACUGAAUAGUCAAAAAUUAAACAAACAAAGAGGACAUUGCUGAAUUUGCUGUGUAGGAUGCCAGGUCCACCAUGCUUCCAUGCACACAGAUCAUAUAUACAUAUCUAAUGUCAGCUCAUAAAGGUUCUGCCCUAAUGUACGCAGCAUUCCAAUGCUGCAGAAGGGAAUUCCUCCAUCAACACCCAUCAACAUUAAAAAGUAUUCUAGAUCCAGA